UACGUAGGGGGCUAGCGUUAUCCGGAAUUACUGGGCGUAAAGGGUGCGUAGGUGGUUUCUUAAGUCAGAGGUGAAAGGCUACGGCUCAACCGUAGUAAGCCUUUGAAACUGAGAAACUUGAGUGCAGGAGAGGAGAGUAGAAUUCCUAGUGUAGCGGUGAAAUACGUAGAUAUUAGGAGGAAUACCAGUUGCGAAGGCGGCUCUCUGGACUGUAACUGACACUGAGGCACGAAAGCGUGGGGAGAAAACAGGAUUAGAUACCCCGGUAGUCCCUGAGCGGGCU
Molecule: ribosomal RNA, 283 nt
Filed under: uncultured prokaryote
Description: partial 16S ribosomal RNA
Rfam family: Bacterial small subunit ribosomal RNA
Source: RNAcentral